UAGAUUAAGUUAUUAAGGGCGCACGGUGGAUGCCUUGGCACUAGAAGCCGAUGAAGGACGUUACUAACGACGAUAUGCUUUGGGGAGCUGUAAGUAAGCUUUGAUCCAGAGAUUUCCGAAUGGGGAAACCCAGCAUGAGUUAUGUCAUGUUAUCGAUAUGUGAAUACAUAGCAUAUCAGAAGGCACACCCGGAGAACUGAAACAUCUUAGUACCCGGAGGAAGAGAAAGAAAAUUCGAUUCCCUUAGUAGCGGCGAGCGAAACGGGAAGAGCCCAAACCAACAAGCUUGCUUGUUGGGGUUGUAGGACACUCUAUACGGAGUUACAAAGGACGACAUUAGACGAAUCAUCUGGAAAGAUGAAUCAAAGAAGGUAAUAAUCCUGUAGUCGAAAAUGUUGUCUCUCUUGAGUGGAUCCUGAGUACGACGGAGCACGUGAAAUUCCGUCGGAAUCUGGGAGGACCAUCUCCUAAGGCUAAAUACUCUCUAGUGACCGAUAGUGAACCAGUACCGUGAGGGAAAGGUGAAAAGCACCCCGGAAGGGGAGUGAAAUAGAACCUGAAACCGUGUGCUUACAAGUAGUCAGAGCCCGUUAAUGGGUGAUGGCGUGCCUUUUGUAGAAUGAACCGGCGAGUUACGAUUUGAUGCAAGGUUAAGCAGUAAAUGUGGAGCCGUAGCGAAAGCGAGUCUGAAUAGGGCGUUUAGUAUUUGGUCGUAGACCCGAAACCAGGUGAUCUACCCUUGGUCAGGUUGAAGUUCAGGUAACACUGAAUGGAGGACCGAACCGACUUACGUUGAAAAGUGAGCGGAUGAACUGAGGGUAGCGGAGAAAUUCCAAUCGAACCUGGAGAUAGCUGGUUCUCUCCGAAAUAGCUUUAGGGCUAGCCUCAAGUGAUGAUUAUUGGAGGUAGAGCACUGUUUGGACGAGGGGCCCCUCUCGGGUUACCGAAUUCAGACAAACUCCGAAUGCCAAUUAAUUUAACUUGGGAGUCAGAACAUGGGUGAUAAGGUCCGUGUUCGAAAGGGAAACAGCCCAGACCACCAGCUAAGGUCCCAAAAUAUAUGUUAAGUGGAAAAGGAUGUGGCGUUGCCCAGACAACUAGGAUGUUGGCUUAGAAGCAGCCAUCAUUUAAAGAGUGCGUAAUAGCUCACUAGUCGAGUGACACUGCGCCGAAAAUGUACCGGGGCUAAACAUAUUACCGAAGCUGUGGAUUGUCCUUUGGACAAUGGUAGGAGAGCGUUCUAAGGGCGUUGAAGCAUGAUCGUAAGGACAUGUGGAGCGCUUAGAAGUGAGAAUGCCGGUGUGAGUAGCGAAAGACGGGUGAGAAUCCCGUCCACCGAUUGACUAAGGUUUCCAGAGGAAGGCUCGUCCGCUCUGGGUUAGUCGGGUCCUAAGCUGAGGCCGACAGGCGUAGGCGAUGGAUAACAGGUUGAUAUUCCUGUACCACCUAUAAUCGUUUUAAUCGAUGGGGGGACGCAGUAGGAUAGGCGAAGCGUGCGAUUGGAUUGCACGUCUAAGCAGUAAGGCUGAGUAUUAGGCAAAUCCGGUACUCGUUAAGGCUGAGCUGUGAUGGGGAGAAGACAUUGUGUCUUCGAGUCGUUGAUUUCACACUGCCGAGAAAAGCCUCUAGAUAGAAAAUAGGUGCCCGUACCGCAAACCGACACAGGUAGUCAAGAUGAGAAUUCUAAGGUGAGCGAGCGAACUCUCGUUAAGGAACUCGGCAAAAUGACCCCGUAACUUCGGGAGAAGGGGUGCUCUUUAGGGUUAACGCCCAGAAGAGCCGCAGUGAAUAGGCCCAAGCGACUGUUUAUCAAAACACAGGUCUCUGCUAAACCGUAAGGUGAUGUAUAGGGGCUGACGCCUGCCCGGUGCUGGAAGGUUAAGAGGAGUGGUUAGCUUCUGCGAAGCUACGAAUCGAAGCCCCAGUAAACGGCGGCCGUAACUAUAACGGUCCUAAGGUAGCGAAAUUCCUUGUCGGGUAAGUUCCGACCCGCACGAAAGGCGUAACGAUUUGGGCACUGUCUCAACGAGAGACUCGGUGAAAUCAUAGUACCUGUGAAGAUGCAGGUUACCCGCGACAGGACGGAAAGACCCCGUGGAGCUUUACUGUAGCCUGAUAUUGAAAUUCGGCACAGCUUGUACAGGAUAGGUAGGAGCCUUUGAAACGUGAGCGCUAGCUUACGUGGAGGCGCUGGUGGGAUACUACCCUAGCUGUGUUGGCUUUCUAACCCGCACCACUUAUCGUGGUGGGAGACAGUGUCAGGCGGGCAGUUUGACUGGGGCGGUCGCCUCCUAAAAGGUAACGGAGGCGCUCAAAGGUUCCCUCAGAAUGGUUGGAAAUCAUUCAUAGAGUGUAAAGGCAUAAGGGAGCUUGACUGCGAGACCUACAAGUCGAGCAGGGUCGAAAGACGGACUUAGUGAUCCGGUGGUUCCGCAUGGAAGGGCCAUCGCUCAACGGAUAAAAGCUACCCCGGGGAUAACAGGCUUAUCUCCCCCAAGAGUUCACAUCGACGGGGAGGUUUGGCACCUCGAUGUCGGCUCAUCGCAUCCUGGGGCUGUAGUCGGUCCCAAGGGUUGGGCUGUUCGCCCAUUAAAGCGGUACGCGAGCUGGGUUCAGAACGUCGUGAGACAGUUCGGUCCCUAUCCGUCGUGGGUGUAGGAAAUUUGAGAGGAGCUGUCCUUAGUACGAGAGGACCGGGAUGGACAUACCUCUGGUGUACCAGUUGUCGUGCCAACGGCAUAGCUGGGUAGCUAUGUGUGGACGGGAUAAGUGCUGAAAGCAUCUAAGCAUGAAGCCCCCCUCAAGAUGAGAUUUCCCAACUUCGGUUAUAAGAUCCCUCAAAGAUGAUGAGGUUAAUAGGUUCGAGGUGGAAGCAUGGUGACAUGUGGAGCUGACGAAUACUAAUCGAUCGAAGACUUAAUCAA
This 2924-nucleotide ribosomal RNA is filed under the name Staphylococcus aureus. RNAcentral describes it as "23S ribosomal RNA". It matches the Rfam family "Bacterial large subunit ribosomal RNA". The record is from RNAcentral. Lineage: Bacteria; Bacillati; Bacillota; Bacilli; Caryophanales; Staphylococcaceae.